Molecule: small nuclear RNA, 105 nt
Organism: Neogale vison (American mink)
Lineage: Eukaryota; Metazoa; Chordata; Mammalia; Carnivora; Mustelidae
Source: Ensembl
GUGCUCACUCCAGCAGUACAGAUACUAAAACUGGAAUGAUAUAGAGAUUACAAACAUGGCCCCUGUACAGGAUGGCGUGCAAAUUCAUGAAUAUUCCAUAUUUUU